CUCCUUUUGGUGUCAGUUGACUUGAUUGGGCGGGUCCAAUAUCAGCCGGAUUCCCCUUGAGAGACUUUGGGGAGGCCUGACGGUCUCACCCAAUGGCUUGGGGUUCUGCCGGCUGUGAGGGGUGGCGAUUAACUCACAUUAAGCAAUCAACUCUAAAGACAGCUCGAUUGGCUAGCAUUGCUGGCUAUAGACUGAACAAAUACAGACAACUCUCAACAACGGAUAUCUUGGCUCCCGUAACGAUGAAGAACGCAGCGAAAUGCGAUACGUAGUGUGAAUUGCAGAAUUCCGUGAACCAUCGAAUCUUUGAACGCAAAUUGCGCUCGAGGCUUCGGCCAAGAGCAUGUCUGCCUCAGCGUCGGCUACUACCCUCAACUAAGUUUCCUAUGAAAGACUAGGGGAUGCCAGUUGGAUAUGGCAGUCCGGUUUGCCUUUCAGGUUGCCGGUCAGCUGAAAUAUAUUCACGCUCUGGGGGCUGCUUUCCUUGAUAGGCUACUUUCAAGGGGAGGCGAGUUCCGAUUUGGUAGGUGACCUUUGCCGGUUACAUGCCUUCGUUGCUCGCUAAGCGUCCCAGUAGUCGUUGUGCAGGACGCCUUUUGGCUUUCGACCUGAGGUCAGGCAAGAACACCCGCUGAACUUAAGCAUAUCAAUAAGCGGAGGAAAAGAA
RNAcentral lists this ribosomal RNA (667 nucleotides) under Trebouxia sp. 1 LM-2014. RNAcentral's name for it is "eukaryotic LSU rRNA". The stretch from base 208 to 361 matches the Rfam family "5.8S ribosomal RNA". The record is from RNAcentral. Lineage: Eukaryota; Viridiplantae; Chlorophyta; Trebouxiophyceae; Trebouxiales; Trebouxiaceae.